GUCCAGAGACGGGAAUCUAACCCACAGUGUUCCGUUUACCGGGCAGAUGCCAUGUCCACUAAGAUACCCUGAA
Molecule: transfer RNA, 73 nt
Filed under: Cordylochernes scorpioides
Lineage: Eukaryota; Metazoa; Arthropoda; Arachnida; Pseudoscorpiones; Chernetidae
Description: tRNA-Thr
Source: RNAcentral